Molecule: ribosomal RNA, 425 nt
Filed under: uncultured bacterium
Lineage: Bacteria
Description: partial 16S ribosomal RNA
Rfam family: Bacterial small subunit ribosomal RNA
Source: RNAcentral
GUGGGGAAUCUUGCGCAAUGGGCGAAAGCCUGACGCAGCCAUGCCGCGUGAAUGAUGAAGGUCUUAGGAUUGUAAAAUUCUUUCACCGGGGACGAUAAUGACGGUACCCGGAGAAGAAGCUCCGGCUAACUUCGUGCCAGCAGCCGCGGUAAUACGAAGGGGGCUAGCGUUGAUCGGAAUUACUGUGCGUAAAGGGCGCGUAGGCGGACAGCUUAGUGAGAGGUAAAAGCCCAGGGCUCAACCUUGGAAUUGCCUUUGAUACUGGCUGUCUUGAGUUUGGGAGAGGUGAGUGGAACUCCGAGUGUAGAGGUGAAAUUCGUAGAUAUUCGGAAGAACACCAGUGGCGAAGGCGACUCACUGGCCCAAUACUGACGCUGAGGCGCGAAAGCGUGGGGAGCAAACAGGAUUAGAAACCCGGGUAGUCC